GUAGGUGGCAAGCGUUGUCCGGAAUUAUUGGGCGUAAAGCGCGCGCAGGCGGUUCUCUAAGUCUGAUGUGAAAGCCCACGGCUCAACCGUGGAGGGUCAUUGGAAACUGGAGAACUUGAGUACAGAAGAGGAAAGCGGAAUUCCACGUGUAGCGGUGAAAUGCGUAGAGAUGUGGAGGAACACCAGUGGCGAAGGCGGCUUUCUGGUCUGUAACUGACGCUGAGGCGCGAAAGCGUGGGGAGCAAACAGGAUUAGAUACCCUGGUAGUCCACGCCGUAAACGAUGAGUGCUAAGUGUUAGGGGGGUUUCCGCCCCCCUUAGUGCUGCAGCUAACGCAUUAAGCACUCCGCCCUGGGAGUACGGCCGCAAGGCUG
RNAcentral lists this ribosomal RNA (374 nucleotides) under uncultured organism. RNAcentral's name for it is "partial 16S ribosomal RNA". It matches the Rfam family "Bacterial small subunit ribosomal RNA", at positions 527 to 896 of the family's 1533-position model. The record is from RNAcentral.